UUGAAGGUGAUGGAAACUGAAGUUAUUUGUUUAGCCAUAAAACAGGUAUGAGACUGCUCCAACAAUGUACGUCAAUCCUGAGUUGGAAAGGCUACCUCUAAGGUUGAAAGGACAGUUCAGUCUCCAUGUCCUGACAGGCCUUGGACUCC
RNAcentral lists this small RNA (149 nucleotides) under Crocodylus porosus (Australian saltwater crocodile). Its description in RNAcentral is "TUC338 (ENSCPRG00005011731.1)". The record is from RNAcentral. Lineage: Eukaryota; Metazoa; Chordata; Crocodylia; Crocodylidae.